UACAAUACAACAAAUGAUAAUAGUAUUACUAAAGAACAUAAUUACAUUCAAUGUCCAUUUCAGUAAUCACACACAACAAUAAAUCACUUUUAUUUACCAGAUAUUCAAAUGCUAAUUUUGAAAAAUACUUUUUUUUUUUAAGUCAACCAAUAAUUUUAUCGAAAACAACCCUCACUUAUGGCGGAGGAAUACCGUGAUGACAAAAUAGCCUUACAAAUAACGAAUUUAAAAAUUUUCUAGACCAAUCAACUCACUUACGUAAAUAGGGAACUCCAAUGCGAUCCAACUGAACAAAUCCUCGAGCCUACUCAAGCAAGUCACCAGAAGAUGUAAAUCUCUGCACUACCCCUUGUGCACCCAUUUUUGCUAAUAAAUCCACCACUUGAUUGCCUUCCCUGAACUAGUGUGAAAUCUGUAUCUCAAAUAAACUCAUUAAGUUUAAUAACCCCUCCCAAAAAUCCCACAAAUACCAAACUGUGCAUUUGCAUUUCAACAUCCAUUCGACAACAAUCUUGGAAUUUUGAAAAAUACUUAAUUUACCAUAUAAUUAUCUAAUUGUUCCUGUAGAAUCCCAAAAUUUUACGAGUUUUAUCAAAUAUUUUUUUUUUUCAAUUGACAAAAAUGUCAUGUCUAGUCAAGUAUUUAUGCAAGUCAGUUUGUUAUGAUUAAUAGUUAAUUUGGAUCUAUAUAAUUUUUCCUUAAUAGUUGAGGGAUCAAAAUAAAAAUUAAUAUUAGAUUUUAUAGUUAUUUAAUUGGUUCAAAUAGUUAACUAUUAAAAGAGUUAGAAUUACCAUAUCAAUAUUAGGUUAAUUUUGAAGCCGUAAUAAAUUGUGCAUUCUAAACUCAAGAAAAAGUUGUUUUGAAUAAGGCAAACUCGAGUUAGAGCCAAAUAAAAAAUCUCCUUAGUUAAUAAUACUAGUUUUCGAUUUAGACCAAACUACUAUAGAAAUAUUGGACUCGUUCGACAGAUCAUAAUUAAUUGUGCACAUUAGGAUUAAAAAGAAAAAAUAAUAAUUUUGAUAAGACUGAACUACGUUAGAGGAGACCGAAGCAAAUUAUCUUUAAAGGAUUUUGGAAAAAAUACAUUCACCAAGAUUAAUCACUUACAGUCAGUUUGAAUUCAAAUAAGAUUAGUUGUUUUGCCAAUUAGAUUAUAUCAAACUCUAUCGUAUAAUUAAUUUAAUAAUAAUGUCAUUCAAUUGAGUUAGGAAUUCAAUUUUCACUCUUUUUCUCUUGCUAAUAACGUGUAUGGAUCUAAAAAUACUUGAUAUGGAUAGAAAUUUGUAAUCUAAUGCCUAAUUUAUUUGGAUUAUAAUUAAUAGUACGUUUGAUUGGGAUAAUGUUGCAUAUGUAAUAGCCAUAAAUUUGUGUUAUAUAAUGCUUCAUUUGUCAUUAAUUUUGAAUGUGGCAUUUUUACUGAUGACUAGUAAGAUGCACGGGCAAUGCACGUGAAAUGUUGUAGUUGACUCUAUAAUAGCGUAGAUAUAUAGAAGAAAUCACGCGUAUUAGCUGAACAAUAUAUGGAAUACUAUGAGAGCUUAUAAUUAGAAUGUAAUGGUAAAUAGAGGUUAAUGUAGACAAUUGAUAAAGCUUGAACUUAUACAAUAUCACAGCUAAGUUGCGAGCUACAAAAGCCUCGUGAAGGCAGUUAUACAUUCCUAUUACAAAAUUAAGAAAUGUUUCAACUUGAAAUCAUCAAGAAGUUAUCGUACGUUCCAGCUAACUAACGUUAAACUUCAUGGGAGUAGUUAUCAUAGAAACCAGCGCUACAAAGUAAAACAAAGUUAUUCGUUGACGGGUGCAGUUCUAUUAGUUUGACGGAGAUGGCAAAACACGCUUUUAGGUUGUAGCAUUGAUGUCGUCCACGAAAAGAUAUGACGAUAAUUAGCUGAGCUUUCUCAUUAUUAUGACUCGAUGAGUUUUAGAGCUGGAGAUAUCAAUACUUCUCUCAGAUGGUAUAUCAGGAAGUACUGGCUCGGCUGAAGUUUGAAAGAGCACUUGUUUUGCUUAUGGUGUGGAUGUUUUUUUGUUAUCAGAAUUAGUGUUUAUUUCAGCAAAGUCUAAUAGUGCUGUAACUAUUUUACCAAUUACAUUUUGUUUUCUAAUAGUCCAUGGUCAUUUGUUCACAUCCCACACAAAAUUAGACGAAAAAUCUCUAUACAAAAGAGUUCUAGCUUUUUCAUUUGUGAUAUUCAUGUGAAAGAAUUAAGUUAACAUUGUUCAUCGUGUGUGAUCUCUAUACGUAAUUGUUUGAUGGUCUUCAAGAUGCAAAUGUAGUGAACCAAUUGAUAGAAACAUCUUAGAAAAUACAAAUUCAUAAAUAUUCCACAUUGCUUCAGAUGGAGAGAUCCGCCUAGCAUUUUGAUAUAUUGAAAUUUCAUCAAUAUCAUCUUUGUUAUUUUCAAUUCGGAAAAACUAAUUCGAUCAUUUCCUUUGUAAACAUAUUUAUAUAAAUAUUUGACAGCUUUAACAGUUGAACAUGUUUCUACAUUAAUACAACAAUCAUACUUAGCCGUUAAGUAAGGGUUAUAAGGUACAACCCACCUAUUAUCCAAUAAAUGUCCUUUGACUUGAUCUUUUUUAUCGUCAUUACAGUGUCUAUAUUGUGGAUAUGAAUUGUUGCCCGGUGAAGUUAUUGCAUAUUCUCUCGGGUAUUUAUUUUUACAUUUUUUGUUACUUUCCAUACAAACAUUAUUUGGAUUUAAUGUUCCACAAGGACCAUGCAUCAUGUAUCUCACAACAGUAUCAUAUAAAUGUGGAUAAUGAUUUCUAUUUGGGAUUUUACAACAAACAAUUUUAUCAACUAAAGGAAUGGAUGUAACUUUAGAUCCAGUUUUAAAAAUUAACAAAAAAUGAGCAUGUGGAAAACCUCUCUUUUAGAAUUCGACCACGUAUAUGUACGCGGAAACAGGUCCUAGAAAAUGCCUUCUAAACAAAUCAUUUUUUAGUUAUUCUAAUUUAGCUCUAUAUAUCCUUGCAAACAAAUCAGGUCUAUUUUGUUUUUCGUCAUUAUAUCUUAGUUCUUCCUUUAUUUCAAGCCAAUUAGGAUUACAAGUUAUUGUCAAAAACACACAUGGCUUAUCAUAUCUUUGAACAAGUGCCUUUGCAUCCAUAUAUCUCUUUUUAUUAUCCCUAGGUCCUCCAGUAAAUGAUGAUGGUAAAAUAAUCAUUCGACCGAUUUCAUGACCUCUAGUUUCACCUAUUUCAACACUAUCAACAAUUCCUUGAUAUAGCUCUACUCGUAAUUGUUUUUUAUUAUUACGAAAAUAAUCUAAUCUAACAAUUUCAAUUUUCAUAUACAUAUCAACAACAUAUUGUUGUAAAAUCCUACCAGCAUGAAGUAAGAUGCAAUUACCUGAGUCUCGUACCUUUAAUUAUAGCAGCAGUACUCUCGACAUAACACUUGUGACCUUUUCUUUCCCUUCAUAACUACAAGACAGAAAAACAAAAACAAUAAUCAAACUAUAUUCUAGGACAAAAUUAAAUGGGAAAAAUCAAUAUUAUUAAUCUUGACUUUCUCUUUUAAUCAAUUCACUUACAGAAUGUAUAUUGCUCAUGUUUAAAAGGUUCUCUUGUAUAGAAUAAUAUCCAAUCACCUCUUUAUUAAAUCUAGGAAUGCCCUUGUGCCAUCCAGAUUCACUGUAAGGAAAAAGCAACGGCUAUAGAAGAGGGUCAUAACAACCAAAAUAAUAGUGCACUUUGUGUGAAGUGCCAGUACGAUCGUAAAUCAUUAUAUCAUGGACUCUGCUAUUUGUAGAUGGAUCUUUAUCAACCCAAACAGAAGCUACUUGUGAAACAGUUGGUGUGUUAUAUACUCGCUGGUCUGGGCCAAGAUCGCAUCGUAUUUGUAUUCAACAUGUAUGCAAAUUGCCAAAACUAGUUAAGAGCAGAAGAACCUAGAAUAAGGAUUAAUCUUUAAGAUAUCAAUCAAUAUUUGUAAGGUUGAUUCACAAAAUUUAUCCGAAAUGUUUAAUCGAUUCGGUAAUUCAUUAUUAGUAUCAUAGAAGUAUAGCUGUAAAUAUGUUGGAUUAUCAAUAAAUGGUAAAAGUGGAUUUAUGUAAUGGUAAACUUGUCUUUAAACUCUAAAUGCAUAAAUUCCUUUAAUCAUCUUACAUAAAUUAUUUAUCAUAAUUGACACCAAAUGAUGUUAAUGCAAAAUGAUUGCUAUAAGUCCAAGCAAAUUUUUUGAACCGUAAUGCUUCGGGUAAAUUUGAUGUAAUAAUUGAUACAAUUCAUUGGGCUCACGAUGCAUAUACUAUUUAACUUUUCCAUCAGUAUAACAAAAUCCUUUACUCUCUUUCCAAUUUUUUUGGCACCACAAUAUUUACAAAUAGUUGGUUGAGCAAGAACUUAAGUUUUAGUUGGAAUACUAUGCAAGUUAAAUGCUGUAGUAAUUCAUUAUUUUCUACAUCUUCACAUCACCUAGAAAUCACUCUUGUUUGUAGUCAGAUCUACCAUUGAGUCCUUCUUUCGAUAUAAUACUUCUAGCCCUCAAAGAUACGGUAUAACUACAUCCCACAACUAAAUCAAAUUCAAUUUUAAUUAACACUGAGAAAUGCAAAUAAUAUUUCAACAAUAACCAUUGCAAAAAGAUCAUGUAGAGAACCUGAACUUAACAAAUAUAAGUAACGAGAUGGUUAACAUCUAUAAACGGACAAGUUCAAAAACAGAUAUAUUGGGAACAUUAUUUGUGCAGCCUACGCGUUCACUUCUAGCAAAUUGACAUCCACCAUACUCUUCAACAUGCCAUAGCAGCAAAGUUAUAGUGAAUAGAUCUUAAAAAAUAAAAAAAUAAAUAAAGGAAAAAGGAAAAAGGAAAAAGAAAAGAAAAAAAAUUAGAGGAAGAAUAAAUUAUUUCACAAAUCUAAAUUGUCAUAUCCCACCUUCAUGAUAUAAUAAAAAAUGUAAAUUGCAGCCAAGUAUUUUCAUGAUAAUUCAACUAAUUUAUGCUAAUGUACACAUCUACUAUAUUAAAUUAAAAUACAAAAGAGAAGGAAAUAUUCUACAUUGUACCUUCAUUUGUUUCAGUUUUAUCAUUAGGCUCACAGAGCUGUUCACAGGCAUAAGGUAAAUCCCUGGAUGAUCCACUUUCAAUACAUCCUCCAAGUACCCAAGAAAGGAGAAAUGUAGUAUGAGUAAUAUAUAGUGGAUAAAGACCUCUGUUACACAGAGCACAAAACAUAGACAUCAUAAAUCUAGCAGGCAGUGUCACAGAAAUUAAACCAACAUAUUAUAGCUUAACAAAUACAAUGCAAAAUUCACCUUUUAUAAAAGCAAACAUUUCAUAAUAUAGAAAUUGUACAUAGACUUAAAUAACAUGGCUUACCAAUCGCAAAAUAGAUGUAACUCUUAACAUAGCCAAAUGUCUGCAUUUUGUCAUCCACAUUUCGUAAUGCAGCUGCAAUUCAUGUUGUGCAACUGCCAAUGCCAUGCAACCUUUUUUCUAUUUUUUUUCUUUUAGUGGAAUAAAUGAGGCAUUAUAAUCGUCAUUGUUCAUAUGCUCAGUCUCCACCACAUCUUUAGAUUCAUCUCUAACACUCUGAACAAAGCUACAAUCUUCAAUAUCGACAGAUCCUAAAAAAUUAUAGGAAAAUAAAUCGCUCAAACUGUACGCGAUAAACAAUUUAUUUUUAGACAACACAAACUGAUAAAUUUAAUACAUCAGAUAAAUAAUGAAAAUUACGAAAUAAGCAUAUAUUUUUGGAUAAAAAAAGAACUUAAAAGAAAUACACUUCUACAAAUAAUGAACUCAACCCUCAUCAAUUUAGCUAAAUUCAGAUUUUUAUUAACUUUUGAUCGAAAAAUGUAACACACGUGUAGUUCAAAAUGAGUUCAAGAAGAUAAAAGUAAUUUAACAAAAUAAAAGACAUACUAAAACCUAACAUUGAAACUGUUAGCAUGUCUGGAAAGGAAACUGCAAGUUGCAAACACAGAGACAACACGACGUUACAGUUGAAGAAGGCAAAAAUAAUAAUACAAUUACCUACUACUCGGCAUUUCUCUUUAUUUUUCCCAAAAUUUUUUUACAGAGUCAAAGCUAUAAUAGCUUCUCAGUAGCUUUUGGAAAUCAAAGCAAGUCUUGUUAUGAAUUCAAAAUACAAUAAAUUAGUAUUUAAUUAAUAGGGAAAGUACACCCUCUAUUUUCAAUUGAAUCUAGUGAACUCCAAAAAUUACUGCUUGCAUAACUUUUCAAAACGUAAUAAAAUGCAAUAAAAUCCCAAAAAUUUUAAAAACUGUAUAUAAAAGGAAAAUGCCUCUUCACAGAGAACAAGAAGAACAUAUCAUAGAAAAGAAGGAAAAUAACUCAAUACAAAAAAAUAAAUAAAUCAUACUUCACGUUUAGCCUAUUCAAAACUUAGAAAGCACAGAUCUUACCACAUAAACCGUUGAUUGUGUUUAUAUUCACCUCGAUCUUGUUGAUCGUCUUUGAAAAUGCACCAAAAAUAUAACGAAUCCUCUCAAACAGGAAAACAAAUACCAAUUAAUUCGUGAGAAAAUGAAAGGGAUGCACGUCGGAAGAGAAGUAGAAGAAAUUUUUUAGUGAUAAAAAGAUAGAUACAGGGAUUGUGUGUGAGAAGAAUGAAAACGGAAGAGAAAACUCCGUAAAUCAUAUGAAAGAGAUA
RNAcentral lists this long non-coding RNA (6623 nucleotides) under Olea europaea (common olive). Its description in RNAcentral is "long non-coding RNA (OEUR_LNC006988)". Lineage: Eukaryota; Viridiplantae; Streptophyta; Magnoliopsida; Lamiales; Oleaceae. The record is from RNAcentral.